Molecule: ribosomal RNA, 454 nt
Filed under: uncultured Rikenellaceae bacterium
Lineage: Bacteria; Pseudomonadati; Bacteroidota; Bacteroidia; Bacteroidales; Rikenellaceae
Description: partial 16S ribosomal RNA
Rfam family: Bacterial small subunit ribosomal RNA
Source: RNAcentral
ACGGGAGGCAGCAGUGAGGAAUAUUGGUCAAUGGACGGAAGUCUGAACCAGCCAUGCCGCGUGAAGGAAGAAUGCCCUAUGGGUUGUAAACUUCUUUUGCUUGGGAGUAAUAAGCGGGAUGCGUCCCGUGAUGAGAGUACCAGGCGAAUAAGCAUCGGCUAACUCCGUGCCAGCAGCCGCGGUAAUACGGAGGAUGCAAGCGUUAUCCGGAUUUAUUGGGUUUAAAGGGUGCGUAGGCGGACGAUUAAGUCAGCGGUGAAAUAUGUCGGCUCAACCGGCAGGCUGCCGUUGAUACUGGUUGUCUUGAGUCCAAACGGCGCCGGCGGAAUAUGUAAUGUAGCGGUGAAAUGCAUAGAUAUUACAUAGAACACCGAUCGCGAAGGCAGCUGGCGAGGAUGGAACUGACGCUGAGGCACGAAGGCGUGGGGAUCAAACAGGAUUAGAUACCCUGGUA